This 196-nucleotide microRNA precursor is filed under the name Gossypium raimondii (Peruvian cotton). RNAcentral describes it as "miR8754 stem-loop (gra-MIR8754)". The record is from miRBase by way of RNAcentral. Lineage: Eukaryota; Viridiplantae; Streptophyta; Magnoliopsida; Malvales; Malvaceae.
GCCUCGUCGGUGCCGCCUGACACACUGACGACACUACCCAUUUUUCUCCCCAAUCAUUCUGUCAUCAUUACCAGUAUGUAUUUUUUAAAGAUACCUGAAAAAUACGGGUAUACCAAUUUUUAAAAAAAAAGAAGAAAAAUAUAUAUUUUCUAAUGGUGUUGUCGCCGUGCCAAGCGGCACCUCUAUUUACCUGGCG